RNAcentral lists this ribosomal RNA (159 nucleotides) under oat root associated euascomycete 0001. RNAcentral's name for it is "5.8S ribosomal RNA". It matches the Rfam family "5.8S ribosomal RNA". From Rfam's summary of the family: 5.8S ribosomal RNA (5.8S rRNA) is a component of the large subunit of the eukaryotic ribosome. It is transcribed by RNA polymerase I as part of the 45S precursor that also contains 18S and 28S rRNA. Functionally, it is thought that 5.8S rRNA may be involved in ribosome translocation. RNAcentral also lists the same sequence under 25 other names. Lineage: Eukaryota; Fungi; Ascomycota. The record is from RNAcentral.
AAAACUUUCAACAACGGAUCUCUUGGUUCUGGCAUCGAUGAAGAACGCAGCGAAAUGCGAUAAGUAAUGUGAAUUGCAGAAUUCAGUGAAUCAUCGAAUCUUUGAACGCACAUUGCGCCCUCUGGUAUUCCGGGGGGCAUGCCUGUUCGAGCGUCAUUA